RNAcentral lists this long non-coding RNA (1484 nucleotides) under Elaeis guineensis (African oil palm). RNAcentral describes it as "long non-coding RNA (EGUI_LNC035716)". The record is from RNAcentral. Lineage: Eukaryota; Viridiplantae; Streptophyta; Magnoliopsida; Arecales; Arecaceae.
UAGGUAGCUUAUCUGAUUUUUAUGGAAGAGUUCCAUGUGAAUCAAUCUCCUCCACGCCAACACCACACGCAGAAAAAAUAUGGCACGCCCCAUUUAUUUUAGGCAUUAAGAGGAGGAGUCCUUCUCUUUCACUCCUCUUAAAAUCCUUAGCAUCUUUUGAUGCGUUCCUUUAUUUUCUCAUGUCAUGUGAUGACUCUUAGAAUUAUGGGUGCAAAAGAGAAGGAAGAGUCCUUCUCUAGCAAGGAGUUUGAACAUCAAAUUAAAUGGGAUGCCACAUACAUAAGUUUGAUGAUAUGAAAGAGUCCUUAAUGUCAUGGACUCUUUAUUUCUCAUGCAUUCCCUUAUCCCACACACCAUAUGAUGGCAUUUUAUUUUUCUUGGUAGAGGAAAAGUCUUUCUUAAAAUACUUCCCUAUUCCAUGCCUUGCUCUUGAGAUUCCAUGCUAAAAAUUUAUGUUGUGGCGUGUAAGAAUUAAGGGACACCAAGAGUUGGCAUCACAUGGUGUCGCCCCUUCUUUCCUAUAAAUAGGGGGUGCUACACCUGGUUUCGUGUGCUAAUUUGGGUUGAGGAUAGGUGUGAGAAUAAGAAGAAAAAGAGAGAAAAAAUCUAGGAUAAAGAAAAGGAAAAGAGAGAAAGAAAAGUUGAAAGGAAGGGAUGAGAAAAAUGGAAAACAUGUGAUGCUUGUCCAAAAAUCAGAUUGUUCAUGUGUUAAACAUAUAAUCUGAUAUUUGUGUAGUAAAAUCAUUUGAGGAAAAAUUCCUAGAGUAGUCCUAGUGAAGGUCUCGAAGGCAUACAAAUGGUGGUGCAAUCCGUUCUUGUGAAGGACAAUUGGCAGCGAACUUGCGAAGAAGGCUGUAGCACUACGUCGAAUUAGGAAGGGUCCUGAUCAAUCCUGUGUGGAUCACCGUUGGAGGGCUUCUACUUUGAUAUUUUGUGAAGAUCUCAGGAUUACCAGAUCAUUGUCUUCAUGUUGGCAUAUGGCUUCUGAUCUCUUCUUGUUAUACAUACUUAUUUUAUUUGAUUGUAAUCAUCAAGGUGUUCAUAGGGCUUUUGUAUUCUGGUAUUUUAGUUUAAUUAUUUAACUUAUUUUUAAUUGUUGAAUUCAUGUAAAAAUUAUUAAAAUUUAUAUUUCACUGUGUCACCAGAACCCAUCACUAUCUUAUUCGAAAAAUCUAUUAAGAUAACGUCAAUCUGUAGAAGAUCGAUGGAAAGUAGAACUUGACCAAUCCAUUCACUAAAGCCUCAAUAUCUAGGAGUUCUGAGAUUAUAAAUCGAAGAUGGAUAUAUGAUACUAUACUAAUUAACUUUAGUCCAAGUAAGAGUUGUUGGGAAUUGUGUCCUAAAACUAAUCAUUUGAUGAUUGUGCUAAUUAUAAUUAUAUAUGAAUUGAUAAAUAAUAAAAAUUAUUUAAUCUUAUUCAUCACAAGGUUACAUCUUCUAAUGAACUCCUAUAUUGUGAUGAAGGCCUUAGGAUUACUUUGAUC